UACGGGGGGGGCAAGCGUUGUUCGGAAUUACUGGGCGUAAAGCGUGCGCAGGCGGUUUUGUAAGUCAGAUGUGAAAUCCCCGGGCUUAACCUGGGAACUGCGUUUGAAACUACAAGGCUAGAGUGUGGCAGAGGGGGGUGGAAUUCCACGUGUAGCAGUGAAAUGCGUAGAGAUGUGGAGGAAUACCGAUGGCGAAGGCAGCCCCCUGGGAUAACACUGACGCUCAUGCACGAAAGCGUGGGGAGCAAACAGG
This 253-nucleotide ribosomal RNA is filed under the name uncultured bacterium. RNAcentral describes it as "partial 16S ribosomal RNA". It matches the Rfam family "Bacterial small subunit ribosomal RNA", at positions 524 to 776 of the family's 1533-position model. The record is from RNAcentral.